RNAcentral lists this ribosomal RNA (253 nucleotides) under uncultured bacterium. RNAcentral's name for it is "partial 16S ribosomal RNA". It matches the Rfam family "Bacterial small subunit ribosomal RNA", at positions 524 to 776 of the family's 1533-position model. The record is from RNAcentral.
UACAGAGGGUGCGAGCGUUGUUCGGAAUUACUGGGCGUAAAGCGCGUGUAGGCUGCUUGGAAAGUCGGAUGUGAAAGCCCUGGGCUUAACCCAGGAAGUGCACUCGAAACUUCCAAGCUCGAGUCCUGGAGAGGGUGGCGGAAUUCUCGGUGUAGAGGUGAAAUUCGUAGAUAUCGAGAGGAACACCGGUGGCGAAGGCGGCUACCUGGACAGUGACUGACGCUGAGACGCGAAAGCGUGGGGAGCAAACAGG